UACUAGAGUAGCACUCGCAUAUCAAUAAGCGGAGGAAAAGAAACUAACAAGGAUUCCCCUAGUAACGGCGAGUGAAGCGGGAAGAGCUCAAAUUUGAAAUCUUAAAGGGUUUCCCUUUACGAAUUGUAGUUUAAAGAAGUGUUUUCUGUUGAGGUUUUGGUAAAAGUUCUUUGGAAUAGGACAUCAUAGAGGGUGAGAAUCCCGUAUUUGACCUUUACUUUCAACUUUGUGAUACACUUUCAAAGAGUCGGAUUGUUUGGGAAUGCAGUCCAAAAUGGGUGGUAAAUUUCAUCUAAAGCUAAAUAUUGGCGAGAGACCGAUAGCGAACAAGUACCGUGAGGGAAAGAUGAAGAGAACUUUGAAAAGAGAGUUAAACAGUACGUGAAAUUGUCAAAAGGGAAGCGUUUGACACCAGUGUUGUUUUUCUGAAAAUCAAUUAAAGAACUGUUUAUGCUAAGCUGUUUAGACUUUAUCAGCUAUCUGUUUAGUUUUAGGCUUUUCUUUAAUGCACUUUUCAGUUAACAAGUCAACAUCAAUUUCUUUUGCUGUAAAAAAGCUUGAGGAAGGUGGCUUGAGAUUCGUCUUAAGUGUUUAUAGCCUCUUGCCUAUGCAGUCGGAGAGAUUGAGGUCUGCAGCGUAGAUCCUUCGGGGCUAAAUGCAUUUGUGCUAAGUUAUAGCAUUUUAUAGACAACUUGUUGACUAUGAUUUGUCUUGUAGCUUACUCGCUUAUGUUAUUUUACCUACGCUUAGGAUGUUGAGCGCAUGUCUCUCUCU
This 774-nucleotide ribosomal RNA is filed under the name uncultured Neocallimastigales. RNAcentral's name for it is "partial large subunit ribosomal RNA". It matches the Rfam family "Eukaryotic large subunit ribosomal RNA", at positions 20 to 616 of the family's 3401-position model. The record is from RNAcentral. Lineage: Eukaryota; Fungi; Neocallimastigomycota; Neocallimastigomycetes; Neocallimastigales.